Long non-coding RNA from Magnolia sinica, 912 nucleotides. RefSeq lists it as uncharacterized. The transcript is spliced from 3 exons. Lineage: Eukaryota; Viridiplantae; Streptophyta; Magnoliopsida; Magnoliales; Magnoliaceae. The record is from RefSeq and is a predicted model, not a curated record.
CUCUCUCUCUCUCUCUCUGAAGCUCGAUUGAAUUAGAUUCACGAACACGAGUUGUGCAGUUUGGAUUCACUCAAAGAUGCCCCAUGCAUGUGUUUUAUGCAAGAAUGUUGGCGAUUGUAGGCCCCAAUUUUAUUUUUGGAUGGCGAUCGUAAUUUACGAGCUUGGUUUUGUCAAGGAUUAGGGACUUCAUUGAAUGGGCUCAGUGUCUUUUACUUGACUUGGUCUCCAGAUAUAUCCCCUUAGAUAGCAAUGAGAUAUUUGACAUAAUGAAUCUCCUUGAGGAUAGGCUUCAGCAUGCAAAUGGUGUUGUUGUUUUAGCAACAACCAAGGUGUUUCUACAUUUGACAAUGUCCAUGAUUGAUGUCCAUCAACAGGUGCCUAUUAAAAGAUUCCUUUGUUAUUCAUGUUUAAGUAGUAAUAAAGGAAUUUCAACCUUUUUCCCUUUUUUCUGUUAAAGUUUCAAUAAUGUUUACAGAUCUUUUAUAUUUUUAUUUAUAAAGAAGGUUCAUAGUGCUUAUGGAUCCUUCAGAGCCACUGCUAUUUGGAAAUGCGAGCCUUGUUCAUGCUAUGUGAUAUUUAUUGAGUCAUGAGAAAGUGCUAUUUCAUCUAAUGCAUUCUACAUCAUUGUGAUAUACCAUGACCAAAUUCCAUCUACACCUCAAGUUUCUUAUCUAUAUGAUUUUGCAAUUCAGCUCGCAUAUAUUUAGAUGAUCAAUUGCAUUGGUUAAAUGUUGAUGUGAUGGAAACUUUUUUAAAUGAGUAAAUGAAUUUUCUUCUUUUUUCUGAAAGUUGCUUUCCUUGUUCUUAUUGAUAAUAAUAAAAAAAGAACAACAAAAACAAAGAAAAAUAGGAGAGGCAAAGAAGUCUUGUCCCCAUGUUACCCUUGUCACUCUAGCAGUCUAGCUUUGUGAA